GCCGGGCAUGGUGGCGGGUGCCUGUAAUCCCAGCUACUUGGGAGGCUGAGGCAGAAGAAUUGCUUGAACCCAGGGGCAGAGGUUGCAGUGAGCCAAGAUUGUGCCACUGCACUCCAGCUUGGGUGACAAAGUGAGACUCUGUCUCAA
Unclassified non-coding RNA from Pongo abelii (Sumatran orangutan), 147 nucleotides. It matches the Rfam family "Metazoan signal recognition particle RNA". From Rfam's summary of the family: The signal recognition particle (SRP) is a universally conserved ribonucleoprotein. Lineage: Eukaryota; Metazoa; Chordata; Mammalia; Primates; Hominidae. The record is from Ensembl.